This 142-nucleotide ribosomal RNA is filed under the name uncultured eukaryote. Its description in RNAcentral is "partial 18S ribosomal RNA". It matches the Rfam family "Eukaryotic small subunit ribosomal RNA", at positions 1299 to 1458 of the family's 1831-position model. The record is from RNAcentral.
UCGUGGGUUGCCUUGUCUCCUCAAUUGAGGUAACGAGCGAGACCCCGGCCUGCUAAAUAGCCACGGGCGCCGCUCGCGGCGGCCGGCCGGCUUCUUAGAGGGACUGUCGGCGACUAGCCGACGGAAGCGCGGGGCAAUAACA